UACAGAGGCCUCGAGCGUUAGGCGGAAUCACUGGGCUUAAAGCGUGUGUAGGCGGAGUGCUAAGUACCUUGUGAAAUCCCACAGCUCAACUGUGGAAUUGCUUGGUAUACUGGCAUUCUUGAGCCAUCUAGGGGCGAGCGGAACAAAUGGUGGAGCGGUGAAAUGCGUAGAUAUCAUUUGGAACGCCAACGGUGAAAACAGCUCGCUGGGGAUGUGCUGACGUUGAGACACGAAAGCCAGGGGAGCAAACGGG
Molecule: ribosomal RNA, 253 nt
Filed under: uncultured bacterium
Lineage: Bacteria
Description: partial 16S ribosomal RNA
Rfam family: Bacterial small subunit ribosomal RNA
Source: RNAcentral